This 23-nucleotide small nuclear RNA is filed under the name Arabidopsis thaliana (thale cress). RNAcentral describes it as "snRNA_01428". Lineage: Eukaryota; Viridiplantae; Streptophyta; Magnoliopsida; Brassicales; Brassicaceae. The record is from RNAcentral.
UUUGUAUUGUUUACAAUCGUUUU